Molecule: ribosomal RNA, 532 nt
Filed under: uncultured bacterium
Lineage: Bacteria
Description: bacterial SSU rRNA
Rfam family: Bacterial small subunit ribosomal RNA
Source: RNAcentral
AAUAGAUACCCAGGUAGUCCACGCCGUAAACGAUGAGUGCUAAGUGUUAGAGGGUUUCCGCCCUUUAGUGCUGCAGCUAACGCAUUAAGCACUCCGCCUGGGGAGUACGGUCGCAAGACUGAAACUCAAAGGAAUUGACGGGGGGCCCGCACAAGCGGUGGAGCAUGUGGUUUAAUUCGAAGCAACGCGAAGAACCUUACCAGGUCUUGACAUCCCACUGACCGGUAUAGAGAUAUACCUUUCCCUUCGGGGACAGUGGUGACAGGUGGUGCAUGGUUGUCGUCAGCUCGUGUCGUGAGAUGUUGGGUUAAGUCCCGCAACGAGCGCAACCCUUGAUCUUAGUUGCCAGCAUUUAGUUGGGCACUCUAAGGUGACUGCCGGUGACAAACCGGAGGAAGGUGGGGAUGACGUCAAAUCAUCAUGCCCCUUAUGACCUGGGCUACACACGUGCUACAAUGGAUGGUACAAAGGGGCUGCAAGACUGCGAAGUCAAGCCAAUCCCAUAAAACCCAUUCUCAGUUCGGAUUGCAGG